CCUACGGGUGGCUGCAGUGGGGAAUAUUGGACAAUGGGGGCAACCCUGAUCCAGCCAUGCCGCGUGUGUGAAGAAGGCCCUCAGGUUGUAAAGCACUUUCAGUGAGGAAGAACGCCUGGUGGUUAAUACCCAUCAGGAAAGACAUCACUCACAGAAGAAGCACCGGCUAACUCCGUGCCAGCAGCCGCGGUAAUACGGAGGGUGCGAGCGUUAAUCGGAAUUACUGGGCGUAAAGCGCGCGUAGGUGGCUUGAUAAGCCGGUUGUGAAAGCCCCGGGCUCAACCUGGGAACGGCAUCCGGAACUGUCAAGCUAGAGUGCAGGAGAGGAAGGUAGAAUUCCCGGUGUAGCGGUGAAAUGCGUAGAGAUCGGGAGGAAUACCAGUGGCGAAGGCGGCCUUCUGGACUGACACUGACACUGAGGUGCGAAAGCGUGGGUAGCAAACAGGAUUAGAUACCCCAGUAGUC
RNAcentral lists this ribosomal RNA (465 nucleotides) under Vreelandella stevensii. Its description in RNAcentral is "partial 16S ribosomal RNA". It matches the Rfam family "Bacterial small subunit ribosomal RNA", at positions 338 to 795 of the family's 1533-position model. The record is from RNAcentral. Lineage: Bacteria; Pseudomonadati; Pseudomonadota; Gammaproteobacteria; Oceanospirillales; Halomonadaceae.